UUCAUGUCACAUUACAGAAACUACAAAAAAGGGACUAAAUUUGUUUGGUUCCCAUGGAUGGCAGUCAGUACUGAUGUUUCCAACUAUGAGACGAGCACAUUGUGAUGUGGGUGAUGGUUACUUUCAGAAAUGAUCUGCCUUCUCACUAACUGCACAGAUUUUGACAAGGUAUUCACUUGCAGCAAGCUCCAGAGAAAAACAUGACAGACUUUCACUCGCAUUGGGAGUUUAAUUACUGCAAAAUCGUAAGGAAAAAGAAACAGAAAAUAAUCUCAUUUUUAAUUGAGUGGACUAGAAGACGACUUAAUCUUGAAUCCACUGACUGAUACAUAAUCACGUGUCACAGUGGACAGCCAGAGAUUAGCAGGAAGAAAUUGGAAAGUUUAUUCUUACUGGACAACUUUCUACCCUGAAGCCCAGCCUGGUGAAUUAGCUGAAAGAUUAAAGAGCUGAAGACAGUGUAAAUCAGUGCUGAUUUCUGAUUUAGUAUGUUUUCCAGACCCUUUUUGAAAUUUCAGUCAUUUUGUACAAAACUAAUCUAAAUAAUGAAUGUGAAUAAUGACAUUCAUGAAGCAGGAUUACAUGAGAAACAACCGAUUAAGUGAUGAAGGCAGCUGGGCACAUCAACAAUUCUUGUAGUGACCUGCUUACUCGAUCUUAACUCAUGCACAUCUCAAGUUAACAGAUAUAAUAUGGCCAGCCAAUUUCACCAGGUAAGU
Molecule: RNA transcript, 719 nt
Organism: Chiloscyllium plagiosum (whitespotted bambooshark)
Lineage: Eukaryota; Metazoa; Chordata; Chondrichthyes; Orectolobiformes; Hemiscylliidae
Source: RefSeq, a predicted model, not a curated record